GAAUAAAAGUAACUAAAAUAUAACUAACGUUUAUCAGAGUUAACUGUUAUCUCUAGAACCAAACGGCAAUAAUUCAAAUGAUAAAAAAAAAUAACCGUGUUAAAAUUUAUAAUAUAUUUUUUUAAAUAGUACACAUUUUUACGAUACAUUUAUUAUGACAAAAAACCAACAUGUUCAUACGACGACAACGAUAAUUAUUGUAUGAUGGUAGUCGUCUGAAGACAUAAAAAGCUUAUCGGUAUGCUUAUUCAUUAGAGCGGUUCGAUUCCUGAAACUAUCUCUAAUCUGAUUAAAUGUGGUAACAGUUUUAAGAUGAGUCAAAGAUGAUGGUUGAACAGUUCUCCAUUGACACAUUUUUAAAGAUGUAGUAAUUAUAAGAAAAAACGAAACAAUAAAUAACAACACAAAUUUGUUUAGACGUGUCUUAAAAAGAUAAAUAAAAUCCCCAAGCUGUUAUGUACUAAAAUUUGCAGGAUACUUUUGUGUGGUAUUAAAACUUUAACUUCAUUGUAGAGAUUUGAUUAUCGCUAAGUAAAUGGCCAUGUUAAAUGAAUAAGUACUUAGAUGAAUAAAAUAUGGGCUAUGCCAUCUUCUAUCAAAUAUGGACAUUUUCAA
Molecule: long non-coding RNA, 615 nt
Organism: Adelges cooleyi (spruce gall adelgid)
Lineage: Eukaryota; Metazoa; Arthropoda; Insecta; Hemiptera; Adelgidae
Exons: 3
Source: RefSeq, a predicted model, not a curated record